Molecule: ribosomal RNA, 1083 nt
Filed under: Triticum aestivum (bread wheat)
Lineage: Eukaryota; Viridiplantae; Streptophyta; Magnoliopsida; Poales; Poaceae
Description: partial small subunit ribosomal RNA
Source: RNAcentral
AUGGUGGCGAUCGAGAACCAAAGCCAGGCCCAGAGGCCGGCGGAGUCCGCGAGGAUCCCCAAGGAGGCGCGGCGGCUCCUGCACAACCUGGCGGCGGCGUGGCCGAACGUGGCGGACUGCCGCGCGCUGGAGGUGGUGCCGCUCAAGGGCGCCAUGACCAACGAGGUGUACCAGGUGCGCUGGCUCACCGCCCCGGCCGGCGGCGAGGCGGGCGCGGGGGCGCUCAAGGAGAGGGAGGUGAGGAAGGUGCUCGUGCGGAUUUACGGCGACGGCGUCGACCUCUUCUUCGACCGCGACGACGAGCUGCGCACCUUCGAGUGCAUGUCCCGCCACGGCCAGGGCCCCCGCCUCCUCGGCCGCUUCCCCAACGGCCGCAUCGAGGAGUUUAUCCACGCACGGACGCUGUCGGCUCCCGAUAUGCGCGAUCCUGAAAUUUCAGCUCUGGUGGCUACAAAACUGAGGGAAUUCCACAACCUUGACAUGCCUGGUCCCAAGCAUGUGCUCCUCUGGGACAGACUGAAGAACUGGCUCAAAACUGCCAAGAACCUGUGCCCAACCGAUCAGGCCAACGAACUACGCUUGGAUUGCCUGGAGGACGAGAUCGCUUCGCUGGAGAAAGAAUUCUCAGGGGAUUACCACCACUGGAUUGGUUUCUGCCACAAUGAUCUACAGUAUGGCAACAUCAUGAUGGAUGAGGAGACCAACAUGCUGACCAUCAUUGACUAUGAGUAUGCAAGCUUCAACCCAGUUGCAUAUGACAUCGCUAACCAUUUCUGCGAGAUGGCGGCAGACUACCAUUCGGAAAAGCCUCAUAUACUGGACUACAGUAAAUAUCCAGAUAUCGAUGAGCAGAGGCGUUUCGUGAAGACUUACCUGAGCACUUCUCGCGAGGAACCUGAAGCGGAGGAGGUGGAGAAUCUGCUCCGGAGCGUGGAGAAGUACACGCUCGCGAGUCAUCUGGUUUGGGGACUCUGGGGAAUAAUAUCGGAUCGUGUCAACGACAUCGACUUCGAUUACCAGGAGUACGCAAGGCAGAGAUUUGAGCAGUACUGGCAGAAGAAGCCUGCCGUCCUAACCUCAUGA